Molecule: ribosomal RNA, 429 nt
Filed under: Acidobacteriota bacterium
Lineage: Bacteria; Pseudomonadati; Acidobacteriota
Description: Acidobacteria bacterium partial 16S ribosomal RNA
Rfam family: Bacterial small subunit ribosomal RNA
Source: RNAcentral
UGGGGAAUUUUGGACAAUGGGGGAAACCCUGAUCCAGCCAUCCCGCGUGUGCGAUGAAGGCCUUCGGGUUGUAAAGCACUUUUGGCAGGAAAGAAACGACAUGGGUUAAUACCCCGUGAAACUGACGGUACCUGCAGAAUAAGCACCGGCUAACUACGUGCCAGCAGCCGCGGUAAUACGUAGGGUGCAAGCGUUAAUCGGAAUUACUGGGCGUAAAGCGUGCGCAGGCGGUACGGAAAGAAAGAUGUGAAAUCGCAGGGCUCAACCUAGGAACUGCAUUUUUAACUACCGGGCUAGAGUGUGUCAGAGGGAGGUGGAAUUCCGCGUGUAGCAGUGAAAUGCGUAGAUAUGCGGAGGAACACCGAUGGCGAAGGCAGCCUCCUGGGAUAACACUGACGCUCAGGCACGAAAGCGUGGGGAGCAAACAGG